RNAcentral lists this unclassified non-coding RNA (196 nucleotides) under uncultured Clavicipitaceae. Its description in RNAcentral is "sequence contains ITS2". The record is from RNAcentral. Lineage: Eukaryota; Fungi; Ascomycota; Sordariomycetes; Hypocreales; Clavicipitaceae.
CAACCCUCAGGCCCCUCCGGGCGGCCUGGUGUUGGGGACCGGCGGACGGGGGGAGAGGGCCCUGCCUUCCCCCCGCCGAGCCCGCCGCCCCCGAAAUGAAUUGGCGGUCUCGUCGCGGCCUCCUCUGCGUAGUAGCACAACCUCGCAACAGGAGCGCGGCGCGGCCACUGCCGUAAAACGCACCAACUUUUAAGAG